CAAGUAUAAUAAUUUACGCUGAACUACAGGUAACAUAUAUUAAUACAUAGUAGUUAUAUCGUUAUGUAAAUAGUAUAUAUCCAGAACACUCCUUACGUACGUUUCGUGAUGUUCCUAGUGGGCGAGCGAGAUGGUGAAGAAGGCGUCGUUUUAAGCAAUCCAAGACGGUCCGUCCCAAAUCGCCUGAGGUCUGACGUUCGAAAUCUACCGGAGGAGUCGUCAGGAAGUCUCAUGUAGUAACCUGAAGUAGAAGGAGAAUGAUGGUCGCUGAGCAAAGCUGACGAAAAGCUUCCUUCUCUUUUAUACAUGACCACGGCUUUGUACAAGAAUGGAAUCAGGCCUUCCAUUUUCUUUUAUCUUUUAAACUAUUCAAGUACUUGUGUUUUUCUUUUUUUGAUGGGGAUUCUUUGAUGGUUUUGUCUUUGUGAUCAAUAAGAUGGCUUUGGUGUAAAAUAUAAGAAGAGCGGAGAGGGUAAUGAUAGUGACGUGGCGUAAUACCUUUGAUGCCACGUAUGCUUAAACGUCACGGUAAAUAAUGGGUUUAAGGAUAUGCAUUGCAGAGGUAAUUAUAAAUAAAUAUACUUUGUGGGCCAAAAAAUGUGAAAGGAACAUCUCAACUUACACCGAAGAAAUCUUGAGCUUGAAAUAGAAUAUAUAAGAAUAAAUUAAUUUUGUAAGAAAUAUAUUCAUUCUGCUGAAGAAGAUAUUCCAUUUUUAAUCGAUAAGUCAAUAAGGAUUUUUAAAGUAGAGUAAAAAGUCGACGAACAAGUAACUGUUAUCUUAAACAUAUUAAAAUAGCUGAUUUAAAAUUAAUUUCGUAUCAAAUUACCAACCCCACUAGCCUCACAAUCUUGAAUGAAGUCAUAGUUUGCAUCAUGGAUGGGGAAAAGUUUAAAAAAAAAACUCUAUGUGAGUGUAUGCUUUGUAAAACUAAAAUUAUAGAAGAAAAAAAAGAUUGAACAGAAUAUUCAAGAUCCAAAGCACUGCACAUGCAAAGAUUUCACCGUCUUUCACAUCUUUUGGAAUUUUAUGUUCACAAACUGUAUAACUUUAAGAGCGUCCGGUUUCAUUACGGAGUUAUGUAUCCAAGUUUGAGAUACCGUUCCCGUUUCCCACACAACUGGAGAGCCACUUCGGAUCAACAACCCUCUAAUCACCUCUAUGACACUAUUUUAAAUAGAUGUGAUUUCAUACGUCUAAUCACCUCUUAUUCCCUCCAUUUUUAAUUGUAAAUAUUUUUGCUUAAAAACACGAAUAUUUAGAAAAUUGUUAUUUAAAAAAAUAUAUCAUUUAACCAAUUAAUUCAACCAAUUAUUAAAAACAUAACAUUAUUUUAUUGGUCACACAAUAUCCAAUAAAUGAAAAAAAUGCAUUGAAAUAUGUAAACUAGUUAUAUUGUGAAACAAACUUUUUUUGCUAAAACUAUUUACAUUUAGAAACGGAGAAAGUAUUUUAUAGUAGUAUGAUACUGAAAAUCUUUAUGAAAAUACCAUCGGAUAGAAAAGUAUUCGUUGUUAUUCUUCUAACUUUAACGAAAAUGUUUGGUAUCAUGAGAGUUGCAAUUAUAAUAACAUUACUUGCAAAUAUAAUAAUAGUCAAUAUACAAUUACCACACAAUCACAUGUAGACCAAUAGAUAUACGCAUCAAUCAUUCAUCAUAGUCCCUACGCAGAAACAUGGUGAUGUCCCUAGCUAUUGCGAGACAACUUUCUUUCGAACAUAUCAUGACGUACGUUCUGAUCCGAAUCGCCUGAGAGGCGAAGGUCCAAAAUCAGCGGAGGAGAGUCAUGGUCGCUGAACAAAACGGACGAUAGGCUUCUUUCUAUUUUAUACAUAACAAUGGCCUUGUACAAGAAUGGAAUCAGACCUUCCAUUUGUUUUUCAGUUACAAUCAAAAAAAAAUUUCUAUUUGUUUUCUUGUGAGAUUUCUAUGUUUUGAUGAUGGGAUUUGUGACCAAUGUGUAUUAAUAUAGAAGAGAGAAAUGUGUAGAGAUAAUGAUGUAGCGUAAUGGUUAUAUUAUGAAGCCACACACGUAUGGUCAAUCGUGAGGGUAAGUAAUGUUGUUAGUGCCUUAACGAUAAGUAACAUUGAGGAGAAAGAGAAGAAAAUGUAUAUUAAUGAGAAGGAAAGAAAAGAUGUGAAAGGAAAGUCUCAACUUACAUGAAGCAAACCUUUUGAUGAGGCCUUUGAAGUUAAUUUACAAGCAAUCUUCAGCUUUAGCUGAAAUAAAUACAUGAUUAGUUUGUUUAAUUUAAUCCUCGAAACCUAUACAAUUCUUAAUCUAACUUUUUUUAAGAAGCAUACAGUAGUAUAAUUUUGAUUUACAAUCAAAAGCAUACAAAGAAGAGAGAAAUCUUCAAAAGUCUGCACCAAAACUCCAACAUGUGGGAUAAAGACAACAGAAGUUUAUUAUUUUAUAGUUUCAUUUUUUACCCUUUCCAUGCAUAAUGGACUAUAGUUAAUGGGCCAGGGCUUUCGAAGGAAUUAUAUUAUUUUGACGGUUGAGAUUAUUAUCCUAGAUUUAAAGUAUGGCCCGUUACGGCCCAGUUAUCUUAUCGUCUUCAACUAAUCCGAUUCGAACGUGGCGAAAUGAUGAUGACCGGAGACGAGAUCGUCGAGUUCGAGGCGGUAGAUCUGCUUUGUAGUGAUUAAUUUUUGUGAGUAAGAUUUGAUCACUGAUCUAUAUGUUUGUUGUUUAUGAGAAGAUAUUUGGUAGAAAUAGGUUCUGGUUUUGGUUGGAUCUUCUUAUCUUCUCGUAUAAGAACUCUGAUUCAGUAAUUGUGUUUUCUUAGAAGAAUUGAGAGAUGAGUUCAAUGGGGGAAGAUGAAGUUAGCUCCUUUUUCGAAUCGUCUCCGCCUCUCAAGAAGAUGGAAGAUAUACUACAGAAGCUUAACGGCUUCAUCGAGCACAAUUCUUCAGGAGGGAGGAGGAGGAUCGUAUGCGUGACGUCAGGCGGAACUACGGUUCCACUGGAGCAGCGAUGCGUAAGAAAUAUCGAUAACUUCAGCUCUGGAAACAGAGGUGCUGCUUCUACUGAGUAAGUUUUGUCUUUUUCUUUUCAAUCACUCUCUUAUAUAAUUUUAGAUGUUUUAUUCUCCGGUCUAAAUUUGUUUUUGAUUAUGUUGCAAAGGAACUUCGUCAAGGCUGGAUAUGCUGUAGUGUUUCUGUAUAGGAGGUACGGUACUUUUCUUUUUGUUCUGGAUUGUGUGAUAAUGGUGGUGCUCUCUCUCUCUCUCUCUCUCUCUCUUAUAUCGACUCUUUAGUGGAACUUGCCAGCCAUAUUGCCGGUCUCUUCCUGAUGAUCCAUUCCUUGAAUGUUUUCAGUUUCCAGAUAACACCAACAUUCAAGGUAUUUGUCUUUCUUUCUCCAUCUAUAUCCAUAGAUUUAUCUUUAAUCAGAUGUUUUGUACGGUCUUUUUUUUUUUGUUUGUUUUCAGUUCAUGCAUCACAUGUGGAAGCUGUGAAAAUGGCUGUUAUGGACCAGCAAGCUGUAUGAAUUAAACCACUUGUUUCCUUUUUAAUGUGUUUGUUUUACCCCAAAAAAAAAAAAAAAAUUUAUCACUUUAUUUUUGUGUGUUUUUGAACAUUGCAGGCAGUAGCUGAAGCUCGCUUACUGAAGCUCCCAUUCACAACCAUCUAUGAGUAUCUUCAGGUACAAGAAUCCGGCUUAUCGCAAAUUCUUCGACAGAGUUGCAGCUGAAGUUGAUUUUGGUGCUGUAAAUGUUUUAUGUUACAGAUGUUGCGGUUGAUUGCAACGGCAUUCAAAGACGUCGGUCCAUGUUCAAUGUUUUAUCUUGCUGCUGCUGUGUCUGACUUUUAUGUGCCCUGGAAUAGCAUGGUAAGAGUCUCAUGCCCGUAUUACUAUGCCUUUUUUUUUUCUUUUGGUCUGAAAAACUACUUUUUGUAUGUUUGGUGAAACCAGACAGAGCACAAAAUAGAAUCAGGAUCUGGUCCUUUGGACAUAAGACUUGCUCAAGUUCCCAAAAUGCUUUCAAUCUUGAGAACAAAUUGGGCUCCACAGGCUUUCUGCAUAUCAUUCAAGGUCCAAUCUCUCUAUUCUCUUUUGUAUCUAAUUCUCUUUUGUAUAGUUUACUUCUCUUAAAAUUUGAUAAAAACUUAUUAUUGAUAUUUGGAUCCAGCUUGAGACAGACUCAAAGAUUCUGAUAGACAAGGCUACAAAGGCUCUAGGAAAGUACAAAGUGCACGCUGUUGUAGCUAAUGAGCUGUCAACACGUAAGGAAGAAGUUGUGGUUGUUUCAAGCAGCGGUAAUGUUGUGGUUAGGCGUGAUAGCGAUAAGCCUGAAGCUAUUGUAGAAGACAAUCUUAUUCGCCUCAUUGUAGAUCGGCACUCAACAUACAUCAAAGAAUCUCACACUUGAUUUCUCAAAUGCUUCCAAGUCAAAAACAUGUAUGAAUCUUUCAUCCACUCAACAGAAACAAUCUAUAUAGUUUCCUCCUCUCUUUGUAUUUGUGUACGCUAUGUGAAAGAAUGAUGACUAGGUUUUUGACCAUUGAUCAUUAAUUUCACAUUUUAUUUAUUAAACGAGCAAGAGUUUUCUUGAAAAUGGAAAAAAAAGUCACCAUCUAUUUAGUUUUAUUAUAAUUAAGAUCCAACUAUUUAGUUUGUAACAAUCAUACAUGAGAUUUUUUAAGUUUUUAAAUACUCAAAAUUUAUUUGCACCCCAUUAAAGUCAAAUAUUCAACAUAUAUUUUCAAGCCAUGAAAAGGUUUAACAAUUUCGACUGUGACAAAAGUAAUUAUCAAUUACCGAAUCAACUUCGUUGACAGAGAAGAAUGCAUAAGCAACACGAAAUCAAGUAUUUACAUAAUACAUAUGAUAAAUAAGAUGUUUGCUAUAGAAAAAAAAUUCACAUAUGAUAGAUAUUACACACUUUUUCUUUUGAAUGAUCACACUUUAAUUUACAAGUGCACACAAUAUUGACAAAUCCACUACACAAAUUAUAAAUACAUGAUCGAUCCACCGUAAACUAUUAACAUCUUUGUUAAAUUCCAUCAUCAUAAUUCUGGAUGUCCUUAUAUUUACAGUUUAACCAUGAUUAUGAUGACUUAACAAAACGUAGUUUUACAUGCAAGUAUAAUAAUUUACGCUGAACUACAGGUAACAUAUAUUAAUACAUAGUAGUUAUAUCGUUAUGUAAAUAGUAUAUAUCCAGAACACUCCUUACGUACGUUUCGUGAUGUUCCUAGUGGGCGAGCGAGAUGGUGAAGAAGGCGUCGUUUUAAGCAAUCCAAGACGGUCCGUCCCAAAUCGCCUGAGGUCUGACGUUCGAAAUCUACCGGAGGAGUCGUCAGGAAGUCUCAUGUAGUAACCUGAAGUAGAAGGAGAAUGAUGGUCGCUGAGCAAAGCUGACGAAAAGCUUCCUUCUCUUUUAUACAU
Molecule: long non-coding RNA, 5399 nt
Filed under: Brassica napus (rape)
Lineage: Eukaryota; Viridiplantae; Streptophyta; Magnoliopsida; Brassicales; Brassicaceae
Description: long non-coding RNA (BNAP_LNC025437)
Source: RNAcentral